UUACCUCGCCAGCUCCUGAUAGAUUUCCAAUUUCUCGCGCUUUCCCGUGCCGCACGCCGCACCGGCCAGCUGCACUGCGCCGUCAUAUCCCCUGCUACCCCAGGGAGGCCCGGCCCUGCCCUGCCGGCUCCCGUGCCGCCCGGCGAGGCCCUGCGCCGCCGGCUCCCGCUCCUUCCCAUCGAGGCCCUGCGCCGCCGGCUCCCGCGCCUUCCCAUCGAGGCCCUGCGCCGCCGGCUCCCGCGCAAGCACGGCUAGGCCCUGCUCCGCCGGCUCCCGCGCCGACCCGGCAAGGACCUGCGCCGUCGGCUCCCAUCCCGCUCCAGCAAGCUGCUGCCUGUAGACGUCCGCGCCGGCCGCCGUUUCAAAGGUACUCCCGCGUACUUCCCCUGCCGAGACCCUACGCCACCGGCGACCCUCCUGUCGACGCGGCUGACGAGCUGCAGUAGUCCACGCUUGGUGCCGUUGCCCCCCAACCCCCUCCCGCCGUCCCGGUGAUAGUUUCCCACCGCUGCGCCGCGUCCUCGACUCACCCGCCUCCGGUCGUCCUGGAGAGACCCUGCGCGGAUGGAGCCUUCUGGUCCGCCUGUCUCCCAUUCACUGCUUUCUUUGAUUCCUUAUGUGCUUUGUGAAGAUGUAUUUCGAUUUCCUACAUUUCAAUUUAUGCAGUGAUCUCAUGUCUUUGCUAACUGAUCUAGCCUUUAGGUUAGUUUUAUGAAUUCAUGCUGUCAGUAUCUAUCGUCAUAUGUUUCGUAUAUUGAAAUUCAUUCCCAGGUUAUAGUUCCGUGUAUAUGCAGAUUCGCUGCCCUCACACACUGAAGAUGUUCAGCGUGGUUCGCCGCAGGACUACUCAACUAGAAGGGUGGACACUGGACAAAGGUUGGUGGAUAUGAUGCCUAUUAAUCCCAAGAUUGUUGUGUUUGAGAGCACACAAGAGAGGUUUGAGGUUCCUCUCCGACCCGAUAUGUGUGGUCCUCUCCGGUGGCCUUGGGUCGUCUGUCCAAGCUGCUUGUCGUAAGACCAACGAAUCUGUCUAUCCUGCUGUUGAUGGUGUCCACUGGAAGAAGAAGCUGGGGUCCUCACAUCGUUAUUCAAAGGAAAAGAACAAGUCACCCGGCAAUUCUAGGCAAUUAACCGAUUAUUUCGAUACCCGUGAAGGCACAGAGGUAUUGAUGCAACAAUUAAUUGAAUUUUCAUGUUACAAAUAUACACACACUAUUUGUGCGCAUAGAUAUUCACUUAUUCCUUGGUGGGUGCACCAACUCAUUGACUGUAUGUAAAUAGGUUUUAUGAAUUUUUUCCCUCAUGUAAUCUGAUCCCAUAGUCUCUGCCCAGAAUAACGUGUAUCAUGUAGCAGCAAUAUAUCUCCUGUUUCACUCUUUUACAUAGUUCAUAAAAUCUCAAGUGUUUCGUGCAUCUGUACUGCUUUCUUGGUGUAAAAUCUCAAUUUGGUAUGGCAGUGAAUUGUUAGAUGAAGGUAGGAGUCUGAUAACAAUAGUUGUGGACCUAUGUAGAAGGUUGUUAAAUCUUAAUGUGUUUCAUGCAGCUGUACUGCUUUCUCAUGGCUUAAAAUAUUCUCAUGCCAUUUUCAAACUAUCUAUUGAACUCAAUGCAUUUCUACCCUUGCUCGGUUCCUCCAAUAUCAAAACAGUGUGCAAAGCCAUCUCAAAGUUUGAACAUUAGGUGCAACCUUCGUGACGUCAUUUUCACUAUUCAACCGCUGAACCAUGACCAGUAUGCGGCCAUCGAAGCUCUAGGCUUUGGUCACCUCCUCAGGAUGCAGAUUGAUGCUGUGGAGAGCAGUGAUUUGCUUACCUGGAUCAUGGAUAGGGUCAGCCCAGUUGACAUGAUAAUACGCAUUGGUCCAGGCAAGGUGUUUCCAAUUACACCUUCAAUAAUCCACAUGGUUUUUGGUUUGCCAACAGGAGGUUCCACCUUCCAAUCUUUUUCUCGAGCGGAAGUUGUUCAGUUUUGCAAGCAGCUGAUUAGUGAACUAAAUGAGGAGUGUAUCUCUGAUGACGAUCUGAUCCACAUAUCCAAUUUGUAGGAGGAGAUACUAAAGGGCCAGGUGGACUCGCUUUUCAUGAUAUGCUUCUUUAUGAUUGUUUUUCAAUGGACUGUUGUUCCCAACUAGCAGCUCUGACAUUGAUUUAAGCAACAUCAGCAAGGCUAUGCAACCUGAAUUUCUCAGUGCAGUUGACCUGUCCCAGUCUGUAUUCAAUGAUCUUUAGGCCUCAGUUUGUAGAUGCCAUGGGAGGAAUAAGGAACAAUUCACGCAGACAAUAUAUGGCUGCGCUGUAUUUUUAAUUGUGCUAUACUUGGACAACCUUCACCACUCCCUCUCCCCCUCUGACUGGGUAUCCACCCCUCAAGUCAGGUUCUACAACAAUGCCACGAUACAUGGUCUGACCAUUGCAGACAGGGUUCAGGGAAGAGAUGGAUCCAAGACUUAUGGUUCCAUAAUGGCCCUGUUUGUUUCCGCUUUUCUGGAAGUCGCUUCUCGGAGAAUCAAGAUUCUGAGAUAAGCUAGCUGUCUGGAGAAUCGGCUGUCUGAAUAAGCUGGGUGUUUGGCAAUCCUGAUAUUUUGAGUCAAUUCUCUGAGUUGAGUGGUAAAAUGUCUGAAAUACCCUUAAAGCUGAUGAUAUCUCAUUUUUUGCUGAAUACAAGCAGAAGUCAAUAGUACUUAUAUUUUUUAUGUAUCUUGACUAAAUAAUUAUAUUACAGUAAUAUCAAAUAUAUUUGAAAGUUUUUUGAAACCAAAAUAUACUUUCAAUUAAAUAUACAUUUCCUUUUUUUCUACUAAUCUUUAUUGAUUCUCUCCCUACUUUUUUCCUACUCUAUCAUCCUUAUCUCUUCUCCAAUCUUCCUCUCGUGGCUGGGUGGCCGCUGGCUCCACUACACUGCACCGAGUGCCAGGCUCAACGCCAGCUCCCGUGGCUAGGUGCGCGGGCCAAAGCGGCAUCGGCCCGGCGCAGCAGCAGCAAGGGAGGGCGGCGGCACGGCAGCAGGGGCGGGCGGACGGCGGUGCAGCAGCAGGGAAGGGAGGGCGGCAGCGCUGCAGCAAGGGAGAGAGGGCGGCCGCACGGCAGCAGGGGCGGUCGGGGAGAGUGCUGCAGCAGGGAAGGGAGGGCGGCGGCGCUGCAGCAGGAGGAGCGGGGCGGCGGCGCAGGGGUCGGGGAGCUCCUGCGCCCGCUGGCCGCCUCCGCCCGCGGUCGGCGCGGCAGCAGGGGGUGGGCGGCGUCGGGGAGAGAGACGAAGGGCAGCAACGAAAAAAGCCCAUCGCUUACCAGCGAAGCGAGCUCGGGGACGCGUUGGUGGGAAUCGUGAUUCACGUUGUCUCCAUGAUUUCCACGGAAGCGGCGUUCCAAACAAUCGGAUUUUAAUCGAGGCGUUUGGGUGGGUUUCUUGCUUUUCUCCACCGAGAAUCCGCUUAUAAGCGGAAACAAACAGGGCCUUAUUCUGCUGUCAUGGAAUUUAAUUUCACAUGGCAGAAACAUGUCCCUUCAUAUUUAUGUUUGCUGGGGUAAUCACUUCCAGCUCCUACUUUCCCGCUUGCGAUCGUAAGCCUAAGAAACAUAUCCCUUCAUGUUUUUAGCAUUGGUCAGCCAAUAUGUUCAAACGACGAUUGAGUUUUGUUACUAAAUUUGAGUUUGGUUCUAUUUAA
Molecule: long non-coding RNA, 3661 nt
Organism: Panicum virgatum (switchgrass)
Lineage: Eukaryota; Viridiplantae; Streptophyta; Magnoliopsida; Poales; Poaceae
Exons: 5
Source: RefSeq, a predicted model, not a curated record